This 261-nucleotide long non-coding RNA is filed under the name Mytilus galloprovincialis (Mediterranean mussel). Lineage: Eukaryota; Metazoa; Mollusca; Bivalvia; Mytilida; Mytilidae. The record is from RNAcentral.
UUGGGAUGAUUUUGGCAAUCAUUGGAACUGCUAUGUUGCCAUGGAUACUACACCAAAAAUUUCCAAAAUAUGGAAAUGCUCCAAAUUUUAUAAAACUUCACAGUAACGAUGAGCAACAUUGGUAGAUGUGGAAUUUGGCGUUGGAAUUUCGAAAAUGUCUGCCGUUACCAUGGAAACAAUGCAAAACAGGUCAAAAUGGUCCAAAAACACCUAAAAGUGGCAUUUACUUUCUUAAAAUGGUAGGUCAAAUCCAUUGAAACU